This is a small nuclear RNA of Puma concolor (puma), 106 nucleotides long. The record is from RefSeq and is a predicted model, not a curated record. NCBI's taxonomy places the organism in Eukaryota, Metazoa, Chordata, Mammalia, Carnivora, Felidae.
GGGCUCAAUUCGGCAGCGCGUGCACUAAAACGGAACCAUACAGAGAAGAUUAGCAUGGCUUCUGCUCAACGAUGACACACAAAUUUGUGAAGCGUUUCAUAUUAAA